RNAcentral lists this ribosomal RNA (267 nucleotides) under uncultured Porphyromonas sp. Its description in RNAcentral is "partial 16S ribosomal RNA". It matches the Rfam family "Bacterial small subunit ribosomal RNA", at positions 89 to 354 of the family's 1533-position model. Lineage: Bacteria; Pseudomonadati; Bacteroidota; Bacteroidia; Bacteroidales; Porphyromonadaceae. The record is from RNAcentral.
CGGCGACCGGCGAAUGGGUGAGUAACACGUAUGCAACUUACCUCUUAGUGGUGAAUAACCCGAUGAAAGUCGGACUAAUACACCAUAUACUCCUUAGAUCCCAUGAGAAGAGGAGGAAAGAUUAAUCGCUAAGAGAUGGGCCUGCGUUCCAUUAGCUAGUUGGUAAGGUAACGGCUUACCAAGGCAACGAUGGAUAGGGGGACUGAGAGGUUGACCCCCCACAUUGACACUGAGAUACGGGUCAAACUCCUACGGGAGGCAGCAGGU